This is a non-coding RNA of Gymnothorax javanicus (giant moray), 82 nucleotides long. The record is from the annotation of a GenBank genome assembly. Lineage: Eukaryota; Metazoa; Chordata; Actinopteri; Anguilliformes; Muraenidae.
GCUGUGAUGGCCGAGAGGUUAAGGCGUUGGAUUCAAAAUCCAAUGGGGUUUCCCUGUGCAGAUUCAAAUCCAGCUCGCAGCA